UAAGUCGCGCCCCCCCGGGGGGCUCGAUACGGGGAACGUUCACAGACUAAGUGGAAGUGGGUGGGGUCCCCCGGGACCCUGCUUAAGAUAUAGUCGGGCCACCUGGGAGACCAGGCGGGAAGUACACCGCUACGAACCGUUCCGUAGGUGAACCUGCGGAAGGAUCAUUA
This 170-nucleotide ribosomal RNA is filed under the name Rasamsonia aegroticola. Its description in RNAcentral is "partial 18S ribosomal RNA". Lineage: Eukaryota; Fungi; Ascomycota; Eurotiomycetes; Eurotiales; Trichocomaceae. The record is from RNAcentral.